Molecule: ribosomal RNA, 403 nt
Filed under: uncultured bacterium
Lineage: Bacteria
Description: partial 16S ribosomal RNA
Rfam family: Bacterial small subunit ribosomal RNA
Source: RNAcentral
AUUGAACGCUGGCGGCAGGCCUAACACAUGCAAGUCGAGCGAGCGGCGGACGUGUGAGUAAUGUAUGGGGACUGCCCGAUAGAGGGGGAUAACUACUGGAAACGGUAGCUAAUACCGCAUACUAUCGGAUAACCCAUAUGGGAUUAGCUAGUAGGUGAGGUAAUGGCUCACCUAGGCGACGAACCCUAGCUGGUCUGAGAGGAGGAUCAGCCACACUGGAACGGAAACAGGGCCCAGACUCCUACGGAGGCAGCAGUGGGGAAUAUUGCACAAUGGGCGCAAGCCGGAUGCAGCCAUGCAGCGUGUAUGAAGAAGGCCCUAGGGUUGUAAAGUACUUUCAGGCGGGAGGCGUUACCGACAGAAGAAGCACCGACUAACUCCGUGCCAGCAGCCGCGGUAAUUA